This 1230-nucleotide ribosomal RNA is filed under the name Triticum aestivum (bread wheat). RNAcentral's name for it is "partial small subunit ribosomal RNA". The record is from RNAcentral. Lineage: Eukaryota; Viridiplantae; Streptophyta; Magnoliopsida; Poales; Poaceae.
AUGAGUAAUGCAACUUUCUCUAUCUGUUCGUGGAAUGUGCGUGGUCUGGGGGACGACGCAAAAUGCUCUGACGUUCUCUCCGAACUCAUCUCAAUCAAUCCCCACAUUGCAUUAUUACAAGAGUCCAAACUCGAUGCGCUCUCCGACCCCAAAGCUCGAUCCUUCAUGCCUAGGCAGCUAGACCAAGUUUUCUCCCUACAUGCCGUCGGAACGGCGGGUGGCACCAUCUCCGCCGUCAACACUGCCUCCUUCCAAGUAAUCUCCUUCAGCCACCUCACCUUCUCAUCAACCAUGAUUUUGCGAUCCACGGCAUCUGACCGUAACAUAGCUAUCACCAAUAUCUAUGCCCCCUCCUCCCGUGCCCUCAAACAAUCUUUCUUCUGAGCUACUUGCUACUCACAACCAGACGACUCACCCUGGCUACUUGUGGGAGAUUUUAACCUACUCCGUUACCCCACCGACAAAAAUAAUGACGCGUUUAGACAAUCCGAAGCCAAUGCUUUUAACCAAACUCUUGAUGAACUCGCCCUCAUCGAACUGCCACUUCUUGACCACCAAUACACUUGGUCCAACAAUAGAGCAUCACCCACCCUAGAACGUAUCGACCGUGCUUUCUUCAACUUAGCUUGGGCAGACGCCUUCCCAAACUCUUCCCUCUCCUCUCUCACGUGCUUCACGUCCGACCACGUACCCCUCCUCAUACACGUCACCACAACAAUCCCGCGGUCCAAUUUUUUCAAAUUUGAGCCUGGCUGGACCAAGUGGCGACCCUGCAGUAACAUUAUCAGCACUGUUUGGGCCCCUUCACGGCCCACCACGACCGCCAACUCUGCCGCCACCCUCGCUUCCUUGCUGAAAAAGACUAGGGGCGGGCUAAAAAAAUGGGUUCGCUCUCGUACUCCCGCCCCCUCCACGAAUCUCGAUGUAAAACCGCUAUCGCCGCCCUUGAUCAUGCAGAGGAAUCCAGGCCUCUCUCCCCGCCCGAACUCCUCACUCGCAAAAUCAUCGUGUCCCUUCUCAAAUGCAAUAUCCAAAAAAUGGCAUACUGGAAAUGGCAUGCCAAAGUUUCUCGAGCAAUCCACGGAGGUGAAAACUCCAAAUUCUUCCACAUGUCUGCCUCACAACGCCUUAGGAAAAACAAAAUUUUCUCCCUCACACGCGACGGCACGGUCUUCACCUCUCAUCCCCACAAAGCAGAAAUCCUACGAGAUUUUUUCGUCUCACUCAUAG